GACGAACGCUGGCGGCGUGCUUAACACAUGCAAGUCGAACGGAAAGGCCCUGCUUGCCGGGUGCUCGAGUGGCGAACGGGUGAGUAACACGUGGGUGAUCUGCUCCUUACUUUGGGAUAAGCCUGGGAAACUGGGUCUAAUACUGGAUAGGACCAUGCUGUAGGUGGUGUGGUGGAAAGAUUAGUUUCGGUAAGGGAUGAGCUCGCGGCCUAUCAGCUUGUUGGUGGGGUAAUGGCCUACCAAGGCGUCGACGGGUAGCCGGCCUGAGAGGGUGGACGGCCACAUUGGGACUGAGAUACGGCCCAGACUCCUACGGGAGGCAGCAGUGGGGAAUAUUGCACAAUGGGCGCAAGCCUGAUGCAGCGACGCCGCGUGGGGGAUGACGGCCUUCGGGUUGUAAACUCCUUUCAGCCAUGACGAAGCCCUUGUGGUGACGGUAGUGGUAGAAGAAGCACCGGCUAACUACGUG
RNAcentral lists this ribosomal RNA (469 nucleotides) under uncultured bacterium. RNAcentral's name for it is "partial 16S ribosomal RNA". It matches the Rfam family "Bacterial small subunit ribosomal RNA", at positions 28 to 507 of the family's 1533-position model. The record is from RNAcentral.